AACAGUUAACUCUUUCAUCACCUGGAAUUUAUUUGGAUGUGUGGUGUGAGAGAAGGUAUAAUUUUUUUCCCCCAAAUAGUUAGCCAAUUGUCUCUAUACCAUUUAUCAAAUAAUGCCACCUCUUCUGAGAGGGUUGUGAUGCCUCCUUCAGCAGAUGCUGGAUUCCUGCACACUAACUUCUGCUUGUUUUCUCCUGCCUUCAGACUCAGACUAGGGCUGGAACUUACACCAUCAGCUCUCCUGGUUCUCAGGCCUUUGGACUGGAACUAUCACAUUGUCUUUCCUGGGUCUCCAGCUUGCUAACUGCAGAUCAUGAACUUCUCAGCCUCCAUAAUGAUAGUGUUGCAGAAGUGACAUCGUGCAAUUUCUGAGGCUGAGACUUGGAAGAUAUACAGCAUCUGCUUUUGACUCUUAGACUACACCCUCUUGGAAGCCAGCCACCAUGAAGUCCAACUAUCCUAAGACCACUAUGCUGUGAGGAAGCCUAAGCUAGCCGCUUGGAGAGAGAGAGGCCAUGUGGAGGAGUACCAAGGUGCCAGACACGCAUGAAACCUUGGACCUUCCAGCACAGCCAAUGGCUGAAUGUUGCCAAAGGAAUGACCCCGAGUGAAGGUGUGUGGAGCAGAACUACCCAGCUGAUCCCUGCCCAUUUCUUAACCCACCAGGGGCCAAGGAUUCCAGACUGGUCAUCUCAAACUCCAUCCCUGGCUGGGAUCAUCUCCCUAACAUGCGUGUCACCCUCUCUCUUGCUUAAAUCCUCAUGACAGCUCCCCAUCAGCUGCAGGAUAAAGACCCAAGUUUAGCCAGACAUGCUAGUCGGGGUCCAUGGCUAUUUGACCAAAUUUUCCUGCUCUUCAAACUAAACUUCAGCCCUCAGCAACAGAGAACUCUUGUAGUUUUGCCAAUCACACGCUGUUUCUCCCUUCCACGCCUUCUCUCCAGAAUGCCCACUUUUCCUUCCUCCUCCCAACUGAUUCUUGGCUCAGAAAUCACCUCUUUCUGGAAGCCUUUCUCCUCUCCACCCUGAACACCCACCACACAUGCUGGACUGGGUGCCCUUCCUGGAGUUCACUGCUAUCAUUAUACCUACCGCAUAUCAUCAUGUGUUAUGUGUGGUCUGUUUCCUCAACUAGACCAUGACCUCCUGGAGGGCAGGUAUUACUCUAAAUCCUCUUUGGUCUUCAGCAGAAUCCUAAUUUAAAAAUAAUAGUGAUAAUAAAACUAAUAAUAACAAUAGCAGCUAACACUUUCAGAGUGCUUACUCUGGGCCAGUGCUUUCUAAAUCUUUCUACAUGCAUUAUCUCAUUGCAUCCUCACCCUAAGAGAGAAAGUAUAUCAGUAUCUCCUAUGUUUGGUUUACAGAUGAGGAAAUGGAAGCACAGAGAAGUUAAGCCACC
Molecule: long non-coding RNA, 1397 nt
Filed under: Equus asinus (donkey)
Lineage: Eukaryota; Metazoa; Chordata; Mammalia; Perissodactyla; Equidae
Description: lncRNA (ENSEASG00005038823.1)
Source: RNAcentral